Molecule: ribosomal RNA, 561 nt
Filed under: uncultured bacterium
Lineage: Bacteria
Description: bacterial SSU rRNA
Rfam family: Bacterial small subunit ribosomal RNA
Source: RNAcentral
CCUACGGGAGGCAGCAGUGGGGAAUAUUGGACAAUGGGCGCAAGCCUGAUCCAGCAAUGCCGCGUGAGUGAUGAAGGCCUUAGGGUCGUAAAGCUCUUUUACCAGGGAUGAUAAUGACAGUACCUGGAGAAUAAGCUCCGGCUAACUCCGUGCCAGCAGCCGCGGUAAUACGGAGGGAGCUAGCGUUGUUCGGAAUUACUGGGCGUAAAGCGUACGUAGGCGGUUAUUCAAGUCAGAGGUGAAAGCCCGGGGCUCAACCCCGGAACGGCCUUUGAAACUAGGUAGCUAGAAUCUUGGAGAGGUCAGUGGAAUUCCGAGUGUAGAGGUGAAAUUCGUAGAUAUUCGGAAGAACACCAGUGGCGAAGGCGACUGACUGGACAAGUAUUGACGCUGAGGUACGAAAGCGUGGGGAGCAAACAGGAUUAGAUACCCUGGUAGUCCACGCCGUAAACGAUGAUAACUAGCUGUCCGGGCACUUGGUGCCUGGGUGGCGCAGCUAUCGCAUUAAGUUAUCCGCCUGGGGAGUACGGUCGCAAGAUUAAAACUUAAAGGAAUUGACGG